GCGCUUGUGGUGUAAUGGUUAGCAUAGUUGCCUUCCAAGCAGUUGAUCCUGGUUCGAUUCCUGGCAAGCGCA
Clunio marinus is the source of this 72-nucleotide transfer RNA. It matches the Rfam family "tRNA". Rfam says of the family: Transfer RNA (tRNA) molecules are approximately 80 nucleotides in length. The record is from Rfam. Lineage: Eukaryota; Metazoa; Arthropoda; Insecta; Diptera; Chironomidae.